UAGUUAAUUAUCAACUACUUAAAGCACAGAGAGAGUUCUUCUUGCUUUUCUAAAGCUUCAGUGGAAUCUCCCCAUGUAAAAACCUUUUCACCAAUACACAGGAAUUUCCAUUUCAGUGUGAAUUAAACCAAUUAUACAGAACACAGCUCCCAUCAGCCACUAUUUACUAUUACAUUUAUAUGCCACUUUUUCUCUAAGGACCUCAAAGUGGUGUACAUGGUUCUGCUCCUGCUCUCCAUUUUAUCCUCAAAGCAACCCUAUGAGGUAGGUUAGGUUGAGCUACCCCCUGUCUAUGUUAGGAUUCUAACCUAACAAGUUCUGAUAUGAAAACAGGAGAUCUAUAUUAUUGUGGGGAAUUCACACUUCAACUAAACAGUUCUACUGACUUAAUGAAUUCUCUGGUACAAAUCUGGGGUUCCCUUAUUACUAGGGAAUGAAUACUGUGAGUUUAACAUAAAUUACUCUACUGGCAAGGAUAUAGUAAAAGGCGCCCAUCAUUAUAGAGAAAAAUGUUUUAAAACAGAAUCAACAUGCAGACAAAUUUCCAUUGCUAGCUGUCAACACAUUGGAUGAAACAGAGCUUCUGAGAAGGCUCCAUUUUCAGUGGAAGAUAACUUUUAGUCAAAAACAUAUUUAUUUGCAGUGGAAAAUAAGUUUUAGUCAAACCAUUCAGGGUUUGGUUCCCAUUCAAGCCAAUAAAGGUUCUGUAACCCAUUAAAAAAAUGCUGGUAUGAAAAACAACCAAAGCUGGGGUAGCUCAGUCAAUAGAGCACGAGACUAUUAAUCUCAUGGUUGUGGGUUUGAGCACCACGCUGGGAAAAUAUUCCUGCAUUGCAAGGUGUUGGACUAGAUGACCCUCGUAGACCCUUCCAGCUCCACAAUCCUACAAUUCUAGGAACCAGUUGCUUCAGUUCUAGUUUCGAUGAGACAAUUUAAAUAUAAGGUACAAUGAAAACAUUGUUUGUAUAAUAAGGCACAGCAAACUAAAAUGCCUAAAAUUAUUAAAACUAAAGCCUUCUCCAGGCAUAUCCCCUUGUUACAGUUCUCAUCUCCCUCCAUGAUAUUUUGAGAUCUCAGGAACUGCAGAGAUUCUGUUCCCGUGAGACAUAAGUUUGCAAGAGGGCAGGAUUCCUCCAUUCAAGUAAGCUUGCUAGGUGUAAUCAGUGGUGGCUAACACCUGUUGAGAUUGGCAAGGAAGUAGGUAGGGAGCGCGGUAAGCCAGAGUCAACAAGAUGCAGAGCAAACUAAUUCUAUUUUUGUUCUCCUCCUUCUCCCUGCUGAAUCUACAAAGGGCACACUGAGACUAAGCUGGAGGAAGUUGAGAGGCAGUGCCGCUCUCUUCAGCCAUUGUAAGAAUGCAGGCUGGGGGAAGCUAGCUGAGGGCAGUCUGGCCUUGAUGGGGCAGUUCCCAAUUCACCCUAGUGGACCAACCUCCACUGGGUCUAAUUUGGGGUACCUACUACAGGCACCAGCCCCUAGCUUCUUCAAUGGGAUUUUUCCUGCCUCCCCACCCCAAAGUCCCUUGUUGUGUUACAGCACCUCCCAGGCUGAGAUUGGGUCUUACUAAUUUAAACACCUGCUAUAGUGUUUUGCCAAGUGGAGACAGUAGCCGUUAAUCCAAUGGCAUGAUAUGCAUCCAAUUACUUGCAGUAUCCAUCAGCAAAGCUUGCGGUCUUUGAGAUUUCUUUUCCAAUAAGUGUUGAGAAUUUAUUUCAGGACAAUACUUCGUAUAGCAAGUUCUGCAAUAAUAUUUUAAGACUGCAGUGGACACUCAGAAAAAGAAGCAGCAGUGGAGAAAUAUUAGCAUCAAACAAGAGCUGCUUUUAGUGAAAUUACAGUAUUAAACCAGAAUCCAGAUAUUCUCCAUCUUAAAAUCUUCAAGCCAUCACUGAAUGGAAACUCUCUCAUGUUCAGAUAAUACAAAGCUUCCUCUUCUAACAUGGGGCGUGAAGUAAGUCUCGCUUACUGAACUGUGGAAGAAGCAAGUAUUAACAUUUCCACCCAGAUUUCUGUAAUCUUUUUGGUUUGUCUUGUUACCUAGAAAAUCUCUUUGAUUAUCAUUUUAUGCUCUAGCUUAGCAGUUGUGCAAGGAACUAGUGGCGAGGAACACUUGUGUUAAUAUAAUUUCAAGGCCAGUGUUUUGGCCGAGAUGCAUUUCCUGCUGUAUUAUAUGCCUCAGAUCCAACUUUAGGUGGCAAGCCUCACUUUUACUAGGGAGUACUCUCCACUGAACACAAUGG
Molecule: non-coding RNA, 2240 nt
Organism: Podarcis lilfordi (Lilford's wall lizard)
Lineage: Eukaryota; Metazoa; Chordata; Lepidosauria; Squamata; Lacertidae
Source: the annotation of a GenBank genome assembly